AGACAAGGUGCCGGAGAGGUUAACGGGUUCGCCUCGAAUCAUCGACACUGGUUCCCAGUGGCAAGCGAAUGGGCUCUGCCCGCACAGGUUCGAAUCCUGUUCUUGUCG
RNAcentral lists this transfer RNA (108 nucleotides) under Malassezia restricta. Its description in RNAcentral is "tRNA-Ser". It matches the Rfam family "tRNA". From Rfam's summary of the family: Transfer RNA (tRNA) molecules are approximately 80 nucleotides in length. Their secondary structure includes four short double-helical elements and three loops (D, anti-codon, and T loops). The record is from RNAcentral. Lineage: Eukaryota; Fungi; Basidiomycota; Malasseziomycetes; Malasseziales; Malasseziaceae.